AAUGACAAAAAUAGCCAAAAAAAUAAACACAAAACUAAUGAUUCGGAAAGUAUAUAUAGUAUACAAAAAAAUUUAACACAGAGCAGUAGUAACGUUCAGAAUGUUGAAGAUACAAACACAAACAUUCAGCAAAAUCCAUAUAAACACAAGUCGAACAAUAGGAUUUAUAAUAAUACAAGUACAGACGAUAUAAGCGACUCUGACACAGACAAUGAAUAUAAAACUAAACAAAACCGACACCAAUUAACCACACCAAACACAUAUAAAAAAAACGAUAAAAAAAAAAAAAAAAACAAGGACCAAAAAAAUGAAAAAAAAAAUUAUAUAUGUAAAAAAAUGCUCUCAAUUCUACAAUACUGGUUUUCACAAUCGACGAAAAAUAACAAAAAUGAUACUGACAAUAUGAAUAAAUCAAGUAAAAAAAAAAAAAAAAAUCAUUUAAAAAAAAAAAAAAAAAAACCACAACAUGCACAACAUAUACGAAGUGGGUUUAUGCAUGUUCGAAACAGAGAAACGGGGAAUACUACAACGGAGCUUACAACGGAGCUUACAACUGACGCAACAACGGACGCAACAACUGACGCAACAACUGACCUAACAACUGAUCCAACACAAAACCAAUUACAAAACCAAUUACAAAACAACAGUUCGGAUUAUAAUAAAAACUUUAAAUCCGAAAAAAAAAAGAACAAACAAGAAGAAAACUAUUGUUCAACUAUUUACACUAAACAAAUACAACAACAAAAAAAAAAUAACGAAAAUGUAAAAAUAAUAAAAGAAGUUAAAGACGAAUAUGUAAAUACACAAAAUAAAUAUAAAAAAACGGUUGAACAAAAUUCUCAAUCUAAUGAAUGGUUCCAAAAUAAUACAUGUGAUAGUUCUACUCUUAACAAGUUACAAUUGAAUCAUUCUCUUAAUCUCUCAAUUAAAAAUGAUUCAAAACAAAAUAGAAUGAAAAUAAUAAGUAGUAUGAUAUAUUAUUUUAGUUUACAUGAGUAUACAUUUAUUGUAUUUAACCACAGGUCAGGUACGUCUUUAAAUACACACCUAGAAAAAGACACUAUACAAAUAUGUAAAAGAUUGUCAAAAUUAGCCAUGUAUAAAAAACAAAAAAUAUUAACAAACUUAAUCAAAAAUCUAAAAUAUUGGCGUAAAAAUCAUUGCAGACAAUGUGAUUAUUGUAAAAGUAAUACAAAUCUUUUUAACAUAAACAAAACAUAUUAUUCAAAUUAUGAUCAUAAACAAAGUUAUUUAUACAAUAUAAACAAUAACAAUACUUUAUACAACAUUCCAAGUAGUAAUACUGAUAAAAAAAUAAAUAUGUGUGUACAUCAAAGAGAUAUACAACAUAAACUUUGUAAUACUAGUUGCCAUAAUUCCUGUACAAACACAUAUACUGAAAAAAAAAACGAGCCACAUAUUCUUACCACUCCGAUCACAAUCACCAAUAACACUGUCAAUGGUACUGCAAACAAAACUAAGACACUUAUACGGGACCAACAAAAUAACGAUAUUAUUAAUAUUUUUAAAAAACAAAAUAAUAAUUAUAAAAACAAAACAUCAACAAAUGUUUUUUAUAAAACUAUUAACACAAAUGUUAAUGAUAGCGUUUUAAUGUAUAUUGCAAAACAAAAAAUGAAAGAAAAAAUGAAUAAUACUCCUUAUACUGGAAUUGGAACUGCAGCUAUAGCUGGAGCUGGAGCUAUAACUCAAACUGCAGUUGGAACUGUAACUGGUAAUUAUAACAAUUCCAUUAAUAUUAAUAACAUUACAUGUAAUAAAUGUAAUAUAUGCAAUUGUAAUAACAUGAAUUUAAACACAAGCUUUAAACAUUCGAUUUUAUGUAACCCUAUUUUUAAAUACAAACAAAAACCACUCAUAUUUUUAUUUGUUAAUAAUAAUAAAAAUAUUAUGAAUGUUAAAGAAAUAAAUAAAAUUAAAAAAUAUGCACGAGAAUGUAAUGGUUUUAUAAAACUAAAAAAUUUUAACAAAAAUGAUUUGUAUGAAUUUGUCAGCUUAUGUUUUAAUAUACCUAUCGAUCAAAUUAAUAAACAACUAAUUAAUUACCUUGAUCAAACUUGCUUUGGUAUUCCCAAAUUUGUACAAUACACUUUAUUUUAUAUUUUUAAAAAUAAAUAUAUAAAACUUUAUCGAUAUGUUAUAAAAGAGGAAGACUACAAUGGCGAUUACAAUAACACAGUUGAAGGGGUCAACAAGAGAGAGGGAGAAGAAGGAGAAGGAGAAGGAGGAGAGGGCGAAAUAACAACAGAAGAACUAAACGACAUUCAAAAAAAAUAUGCAAAUAAUAACAUAAAAAAUUAUCAUAAAGAUAACGAAAGUGACAACUUAUUGAAUACACCUGUUGUACAAAAUAAUAGUUAUAAAAAUAAUAUACUAAAAUCUGAUGAU
Long non-coding RNA from Piliocolobus tephrosceles (Ugandan red Colobus), 2409 nucleotides. The record is from Ensembl. Lineage: Eukaryota; Metazoa; Chordata; Mammalia; Primates; Cercopithecidae.